Molecule: long non-coding RNA, 641 nt
Organism: Passer domesticus (house sparrow)
Lineage: Eukaryota; Metazoa; Chordata; Aves; Passeriformes; Passeridae
Exons: 2
Source: RefSeq, a predicted model, not a curated record
GACCCUGAAGAGUCAGAAUGGUCUCCAUGGGUCCACCAGGCCCCACAGAGUCACAAUGGUCUCUGGGUUCCAUGAAGCCCCGCUGUGUCACCAUGGCCCCUUGGUUCCAUGGGCUCCAGUGGUGCCACAAUGAUCCCCUUGGUUCCAUGAGGUCCCUUCCCACAGUGUCCCAGUGAUCUCCAUGGGAAGGAAAGAACCAAGCCCCAGUGUUGCAGGGCAGGCAUCUGCUGAUAACAGACUAUUGAAUAUCACUGCAUGACUGAUAAGAACUACAGCAUCCCAUUGUGAGAUGAUCCAGCCAGAGGGAUGAGCCAAGCAUUCCUACCCAGAUACAAUCCUGUGCUUCUGGAACACCAGCAUGGCUUUCUCCACUGGAAUUCCCAGAGGAGCAGCUGCCUCUUCCACUGGAUCUUCAGAGGAAGACUACACCCUUUUCUACAGGAUCUGUGCUCCAACAGAACCACACCUGACACUCCAGGAGGACUGCAGCCACAUUUUCAAUUGGACUGCUACCAGCACCCUGACCAACAGGGUGUCGAGUUGUGUUCUGACUCUGUCAGUCUUAUUUUAGUUUACUGCAUUGUUUAUUUUAUCUUUUUAUUUUCUUCCCUAUUAAAGAACCGUUAUUUCCUGCUCCUGUA